UGGGCGCAAGCCUGAUGCAGCCAUGCCGCGUGGUGUGAAGAAGGCCUUCGGGUUGUAAAGCACUUUCAGUCGUGAGGAAGGUGGUGUAGUUAAUAGCUGCAUUAUUUGACGUUAGCGACAGAAGAAGCACCGGCUAWCKCCGUG
RNAcentral lists this ribosomal RNA (144 nucleotides) under Vibrio parahaemolyticus. Its description in RNAcentral is "partial 16S ribosomal RNA". It matches the Rfam family "Bacterial small subunit ribosomal RNA", at positions 372 to 507 of the family's 1533-position model. Lineage: Bacteria; Pseudomonadati; Pseudomonadota; Gammaproteobacteria; Vibrionales; Vibrionaceae. The record is from RNAcentral.